Molecule: long non-coding RNA, 347 nt
Filed under: Vigna radiata
Lineage: Eukaryota; Viridiplantae; Streptophyta; Magnoliopsida; Fabales; Fabaceae
Description: long non-coding RNA (VRAD_LNC016871)
Source: RNAcentral
UUUUAUGAUGCAGGUGUUGCUGGGAAUAAUGAUUAUAAGUCCUCUUGAUUAAGUUUAUUUAAUUUUUCCACUCUGAUUGAUUUGAUUUUGAAUGGUUUUGUGCCUGUGAGAUUUGUGUUACAUGAAACAAGCUUUUGCUUUAUGUGUGGUGGUCACCUAGCUUCUGGGAGAGGGGUCGUGAGAGGCACAAAAACUAAUUUUUUUUUUUUUAUUUCAAGGACAUUAAAUGUGUUGUAAUUCAUCCUUUUUAUUCAUAAUACUUUUCAUAAUUUUGUCUUUCAUAACUGUUAUUUAUGUUAUAUUCUUAUUUAAUUGGUUAAUCUAUGAUUUGAUAGGCAUUAGGGGAG